UACAGAGGUCUCAAGCGUUGUUCGGAUUCAUUGGGCGUAAAGGGCGCGUAGGCGGCGAGGUAAGUCUGGUGUGAAAUCUAGGAGCUUAACUCCUAAACUGCACUGGAUACUGCUUUGCUUGAGGACUGGAGAGGAGAUUGGAAUUCACGGUGUAGCAGUGAAAUGCGUAGAUAUCGUGAGGAAGACCAGUGGCGAAGGCGGAUCUCUGGACAGUUCCUGACGCUGAGGCGCGAAGGCCAGGGGAGCAAACGGG
This 253-nucleotide ribosomal RNA is filed under the name uncultured bacterium. Its description in RNAcentral is "partial 16S ribosomal RNA". It matches the Rfam family "Bacterial small subunit ribosomal RNA", at positions 524 to 776 of the family's 1533-position model. The record is from RNAcentral.